AUGUGCAGGCAGCCCUGGCUCUCCGGCUGUAAAGUCAAAGGGGAGGGAAGCCGAAGCAGGUCCAAGGAGGCCAACCUGGCUCUCAUCUGCUGCCAAACGGGGGAAGAGAGGCACUGCUUUGUCCCAAAGGGCGCCCGCCCAGAGCUUCAGCGAGGCUCCUUUGCCCCAGCGCCCUCCAAAGCAUCUCCAGGAGGCAAGCCCCAGCAGCCUGGACUUCAGCUCAGCUGGGCAGUCCUUUCCAAACUCAAUAGCGCCCCUGGGAAGGUGGCGCCCAACGCGGGGGCGUGGCCAGCGUGCCGUGUUGGGCCGGGCCUGCAUACCUCCAACCCCAGGGCUGUUCCAAAGGGCAAGAAAGGAAAUGGCACCAGUACAAAGGCUCACAGAGCAAGGAACGGCACCAGCAGGUCGACAUGCGGCUAAAGCAUUACCGGGAUAGACACCCAUCUAAAUUGGAUUGGGAAGAUCACCCACCCUUGCUUGGACUUGCGAGCUUCUCUUUGGACAGCUUGGAAUAUCAGCUUCCCCAGGGGACUCAUUACUUAUGGACUGGGACUGUUCUUGGGUCAGGGCUCUGUGCCCCUCCUGUUGGGUUAAUUUCAUCCUUUUGUUGGAUCACGGGGUGUGUAGGUUGUUUGUUUUUGGUUUAUUGACAGGAUUGGUGGCAAGGGGAGUGGGUGGCCCACCCUCCUUUUUUGUGGCGUUUGGGCAUGGGCCCUGGAUCUGGUUGGCCUCCCCCCCUAUUGGAGGUGGGGGGAGUGCCCGGUUUGCCAGAGGUGCGGGGUAACGUUGGCUCGAUCUUUUACCCGGCUGCACCCUGGCGUGCUUGGUAUCAGUCAGCACUGGGCUGACCGAUGUUAGAUCCAGGACCCAUGCAUGUCAGCCAACCCCUUUUGUUACCGUUAUCAAUAAACAAGUUGUGGUCAAUUUUUACCCAACCACGUGUUUGAGUCUUCCUUGGUUUCAUGUUGGAAGGUAUGUUCCCCUACCCACGCAAAGAAAUUAAGAAUAUUGUGUACAUGGUUAAAGAUAACAGUAUAGAGAAAAUACAUGGUUGGAGAGAUGGGUGAUGGGUGGACAACACUAGUAGCUUUUUUAUUAAGAAAAAUUAGUUAAAUGUUAAUAAGAAAAGGAUGCAUAAAAGAUCAAGGUAUAUAGGUAAUAACCAGCAAUAAGACUUAGAAAUAUGGAUGCAAAAGGUGUAUGUGUAUUUGCACCAUAAUUAAGUGUAAAUAAUAUGAUGAAAAAGUAAUAAGUAAUAAGUAAUAGUAAUAAUAAUAAACAUGGGAGGCUUCCUGUGUUCUGCUGGCUCCAAUUGAUCUAGCAUGGGUCCUCUACGGAAGGGUGAUGCUUCCCCCAUGUGGUGGGGAAUGUAUCACCAAAAGGGAGCUGUGCAUGAGGUGACAUAUUCACCCCACUGUCCCUCUCUUUUCUCCCUAAAGCCAGGUGAAGCAUGAAGCUUUGCCUGGCCUUUGUGAUGAGGCCCUAAUACUCUUAGAUGCUUUUUACAUGUGCUGCUGCUAUUCCUGAGAUCAUUUAUCCUAUAUUCAUUUGCCUAAAUUGAGAACUUCAUAUUUAUCCUUGAUAAAAUAAAUCGUGUUCGUGUCUUUUAAGACUAUCUGUUGAUUUUUCUGCUUUGAGAUAUUAGCUAGCAAAUCUGGGAAGUCUAACAGCAACACCUUCACAUUUCAUUUCCAUUGCCCCUGCAUACAAACUUUCUAUGCUGUCCAAACUAGAAACAUAGUUGUCAUUUGGGUUGUUGUAUGUCUUUCGGGCUGUGUGGCCAUGUUCCAGAAGCAUUCUCUCCUGACGUUUCGCCCACAUCUAUGGCAGGCAUCCUCAGAGGUUGUGAGGUUGUCAUUUCUUUUUGGAAUGAUGAGGAACCAUAGCUGUGGGGUUUUUUUUUUGUUAUAGUCCAUCCAUCCUCCAGGCCUCCACCUAACAAUAGUAUUGUUUGCCCCCAUUCUAUCAGAACUAUAUAUGUAAGAAUAUAUUGGGAGAUCUUACUGAAAGCUUUGCUAUAAACAUGAUAUACUGAAUCCCCAGCAUUCCCCGGAUCUACUGAGUUUGUAACUUAUACAAUGGCACAGCCAUUUGUAGAAAAGUACAUUUGAAUUGCUCAAAAUUGCAUUUUAAAAAUGUGUUGUUUUUAUAAAGUGGUAUGUCAAAGCAAGAGUCUGAAUUUUAGGUGCUUUCUUUGAGUGUCUAGAGAACAUAUGCAUGUGUUUAAUUACAAACUACAAGCUUUCUGGGGAAAUAUUUUCUUUUACUAUACAAGAUUAUCCAGAUGGCUGGAACUAAAUUGCAUAAAAGAUUGUUAUGACUGGCAGUUUAAAAAAUUCAGUAAUUUCAAACAAAAGAUUUAUACUCUGUACACAAGCAGUACAGUGGAUGUACAAUUCUCAAAUGAGUUCCAUUUGCUGCUGGACACAAUCAGAUUAGAACUGGUAGAGGAGGAAUAUAACAAAACUGGCACAUGUGAUUCUUAACCAUUCUGUUUCUUUGAUCCUGUAUUUUUGCUUUUUACAGAACACAUGGAUAACUUAUAAGGCAGGGGCAAUUUUUGACUGCAGUGGGCUUUUAAUGAUGCGCUGCUUUGUAGUUUUUUAUAUCCUGUCCUUUAAUGAAUUUUUAAAUAGUUUUAACCCUAUAGAUUGUCUAAUUGAACAAACCUUGCCAAGAAAAAACUGCAAUGAAAUGACUUGAAGGUACAGGAUAAUAACAACAAAGACACAUUGCAUCCCAAAAUUGGAGAAAAUUAAGGAUAAUGAUGAUGAUAAUAAUAACAACAACAAUAGAAAAUAUUUGCAAUUUGUCUACAGUAAAAAAUAAUAAGAAGCCUAUGUAAUCUUCUAUCUUUGCAGCAAAGGUACAUACAACAUUUGUAGUGGAUCUAUUCCUUGAUCCUACCAUAUUUGUUAAAAAUGUCCUGGACUAGAUCUACGACCUUGUCACAUGCGCCACAGGAAUCACUGGCAAUCCCAGCGGCUCCCACCCAGGGGGUGUGGGGACCUUUCACAUUACAUUGUCCUAGCUUCCCCUCUAUCUCAUCACACAGUGGGAAUCCUCUUUAAGCUGGCUUAGCACAUUUUUGCUUAUGGAAAGAUGAGGAUGCUCCCAUUGUGCACCACCAGUGAUUUUUUGGUGGCAGCAGUGUUUUUUCCCUUACUUUCACCACAGAGCUGCCCAGAAAUAAUUUCAAUAUGUAUGAUGGGGGCCAGUGGGCUUCUAUGGCGAAAGUGGAAAAAACCGGUUAUGCAGCCAAAAUUAAGACCAUGUGAAGAAGUCACUAGAUUGUCCAUUCUAGGUUUUCUACUGUAUGUCUAGA
RNAcentral lists this long non-coding RNA (3325 nucleotides) under Anolis carolinensis (green anole). RNAcentral's name for it is "lncRNA (ENSACAG00000044193.1)". Lineage: Eukaryota; Metazoa; Chordata; Lepidosauria; Squamata; Anolidae. The record is from RNAcentral.